This 72-nucleotide transfer RNA is filed under the name Cavia porcellus (domestic guinea pig). It matches the Rfam family "tRNA". Rfam says of the family: Transfer RNA (tRNA) molecules are approximately 80 nucleotides in length. Their secondary structure includes four short double-helical elements and three loops (D, anti-codon, and T loops). Lineage: Eukaryota; Metazoa; Chordata; Mammalia; Rodentia; Caviidae. The record is from Rfam by way of RNAcentral.
GGGGAUAUAGCUCAGUGGCACAGCAUCUACUUGGCAAGUGCAAGGUCCUAAGUUCAAUUCCCAGUGCCCCCC